This 468-nucleotide ribosomal RNA is filed under the name uncultured bacterium. RNAcentral's name for it is "partial 16S ribosomal RNA". It matches the Rfam family "Bacterial small subunit ribosomal RNA", at positions 28 to 507 of the family's 1533-position model. The record is from RNAcentral.
GACGAACGCUGGCGGCGUGCUUAACACAUGCAAGUCGAACGGAAAGGCCCUGCUUUUGUGGGGUGCUCGAGUGGCGAACGGGUGAGUAACACGUGAGUAACCUGCCCUUGACUUUGGGAUAACUUCAGGGAACUGGGGCUAAUACCGGAUAGGAGCUCCUGCUGCAUGGUGGGGGUUGGUAAGUUUCGGCGGUUGGGGAUGGACUCGCGGCUUAUCAGCUUGUUGGUGGGGUAGGUGCUUACCAAGGCUUUGACGGGUAGCCGGCCUGAGAGGGUGACCGGCCACAUUGGGCCUGAGAUACGGCCCAGACUCCUAUGGGAGGCAGCAGUGGGGAAUAUUGCACAAUGGGCGGAAGUCUGAUGCAGCAACGCCGCGUGCGGGAUGACGGCCUUCGGGUUGUAAACCGCUUUCGCCUGUGACGAAGCGUGAGUGACGGUAAUGGGUAAAGAAGCACCGGCUAACUACGUG